RNAcentral lists this ribosomal RNA (325 nucleotides) under uncultured eukaryote. RNAcentral describes it as "partial 18S ribosomal RNA". It matches the Rfam family "Eukaryotic small subunit ribosomal RNA", at positions 1470 to 1796 of the family's 1831-position model. The record is from RNAcentral.
CCCUUAGAUGUUCUGGGCUGCACGCGCGCUACACUGAAGCGUUCAACGAGUAUUCACCUUGCCCGGGAGGGUUGGGUAAUCUUUUGAAAACGCUUCGUGAUGGGGAUAGAUUAUUGCAAUUAUUAAUCUUCAACGAGGAAUUCCUAGUAAGCGCGAGUCAUCAGCUCGUGCUGAUUACGUCCCUGCCCUUUGUACACACCGCCCGUCGCUCCUACCGAUUGAAUGAUCCGGUGAAUAAUUCGGACUGCAGCACUGCUUGGUCUCCAGGCUUUGCAGCGGAAAGUUUAGUGAACCUUAUCACUUAGAGGAAGGAGAAGUCGUAACA